This 253-nucleotide ribosomal RNA is filed under the name uncultured bacterium. RNAcentral describes it as "partial 16S ribosomal RNA". It matches the Rfam family "Bacterial small subunit ribosomal RNA", at positions 524 to 776 of the family's 1533-position model. The record is from RNAcentral.
GACAGAGGCCUCGAGCGUUAGGCGGAAUCACUGGGCUUAAAGCGUGUGUAGGCGGAUCGUUAAGUACCUUGUGAAAUCCCACGGCUCAACCGUGGAACGGCCCCGGGUACGGGCGGCCUCGAGGGGGGUAGGGGCGUGCGGAACUGUGGGUGGAGCGGUGAAAUGCGUUGAUAUCCACAGGAACUCCGGUGGCGAAGGCGGCACGCUGGACCCUCUCUGACGCUGAGGCGCGAAAGCCAGGGGAGCGAACGGG